RNAcentral lists this non-coding RNA (31 nucleotides) under Mus musculus (house mouse). Lineage: Eukaryota; Metazoa; Chordata; Mammalia; Rodentia; Muridae. The record is from RNAcentral.
UGCCUAUCCUUGAAGGGUCAAUCUGCUUUAA